Molecule: long non-coding RNA, 1095 nt
Filed under: Homo sapiens (human)
Lineage: Eukaryota; Metazoa; Chordata; Mammalia; Primates; Hominidae
Description: HSALNT0069163
Source: RNAcentral
GAGUGGGAUUCAAGCAAAGACUUCAUGGAAAACAAACCAAGCUUCCACAGUUCCUAAAAGAUAUAUAGCCAGUCCAAGGGUGAGGAUGGAUGGAGAAGAAUGGACAACCAGUGUUCCAGCCCAAGUGAACAUCAUGGGUCAAGCAGCAUGGAGAAAUAUCAAAAGCCAAGGCUACAGUCACUGCCCUUCAAGAGCUCACAAAGAACAGCAAAUGGACAAGAGACAGUGAAGAGCAAAAGACCCACAGCAGAGGGUCUGAGUUCGAUUCCUGGCUCCAGCAGCAGCUUGGUCUGGGCUCUGACCCCUACCCUCACCUCUCCUACAUGGUCUUAUGAAGCAAGCUGCCUACAGAAAUGUCCAUGUGUCAGGAAACUGAAGCUGGCUCAUGGUCAGCAGCCAGCAAGCUACAAAGGGCUUCCAACAGCCCAUGAAGCACUGAGUCCUGCCAAAAGCCACGUGCAUGAGCUUAGAAGAGCUUCAUCCUCCAGGCUAGGAAAGAGACAGUCGGUGUGCAGCAAGAGAAAAGAGAGGAGGAAACAUGUGGAAAGACCCAAAGAAUGAAGACACAAGAGCAUGCCUGAAUGCAAUGGGAAGUAGAUCAGUUGACCUUUGCUGAAUAACAAGGUGGACCUAAAACUGGGUGACUUGAAACAGCACCAGACGACAUGAACCAUACUCCAAAAAUGAAAUACUGAUAAGAGGGGAUGGAGAGCUAUUGGAGCCCUAUCAUUUGCACACCUGGACCACGUGAUGGAGAACCAGGGAUGACAAUUGAGAGGAGAGACAGAGAACCCUCCAUCUGUGUCAAAAUGCCCAGUGUUACCACCAACAAGAGUCAGCCACAUCAAAACAGGCACAGGCAAAACGUGGCCCUCUGCGAGCAAGGAAUGGGGUUUCAUGAAGAACCACUUCUGCUGACACCUUGAUCUUGAACUUCCAGCCUCCAGAGCUGUGAGAAAUAAAUAUCUAUUGUUUAAACCAUCCAUUGCAAGGUAUUUGAUGAUAGCAGCCCUAGCUGACUAGUACAUGGUCCUCAGAAUAAUUAGUAAAGCAAAACUGUUUGGCUGGGACUUCCUCCACUGUGUGUAUUUCCAG